Molecule: ribosomal RNA, 269 nt
Filed under: uncultured prokaryote
Description: partial 16S ribosomal RNA
Rfam family: Bacterial small subunit ribosomal RNA
Source: RNAcentral
UACGGAGGGUGCAAGCGUUGUUCGGAAUUACUGGGCGUAAAGCGCGUGUAGGCGGCUUGGCAAGUCGAGUGUGAAAUCCCAGGGCUCAACCCUGGAACUGCACCCGAAACUGCUUCGCUAGAGUCCCGGAGAGGGUGGCGGAAUUUCCGGUGUAGAGGUGAAAUUCGUAGAUAUCGGAAGGAACACCAGUGGCGAAGGCGGCCACCUGGACGGUGACUGACGCUGAGACGCGAAAGCGUGGGGAGCAAACAGGAUUAGAUACCCCCGUA